AGAGACUUAGGUUAAACAAACCAAGGGCCUUCAAAGCCCUAAACAAGGGUGAAAGCCUCUUAGUCUCUG
This 69-nucleotide transfer RNA is filed under the name Scriptaphyosemion schmitti. Its description in RNAcentral is "tRNA-Trp". It matches the Rfam family "tRNA". From Rfam's summary of the family: Transfer RNA (tRNA) molecules are approximately 80 nucleotides in length. Their secondary structure includes four short double-helical elements and three loops (D, anti-codon, and T loops). The record is from RNAcentral. Lineage: Eukaryota; Metazoa; Chordata; Actinopteri; Cyprinodontiformes; Nothobranchiidae.